AUGCCUGAAUUACGGCACGAGGGAAAAAAAUUGGAAGCUCCUCUCGCCCAUUGCAAGCAUUUCCAAGGAACUGCGCUGGAAUUCAGUUUUGCCUCCCACCGUUUCCCAUUGACGCGGAUAGCCUCCUUACUCCAGAUUAACAUUAACAUUAAAUGCCGCUUCAUUUUCCUGAAAUCGGUCUGCGGUGGGCUUGAUAAGGACGGGCAGAGAUGUUGCGCUGCAGCCGGACAAGAGAGUUGCCGCGCGCUGUUGCCAACGUUCCGAAUGGAAUGCGGUGAACAUUCUAAAUGGAACCUUGGAGCGGAAGUUGGCGAGAAGCGGGCGUCUUCCUCCGGGCACGUGCUUCGGCUUCGCUCGUGUAUUUUGCGAGUCCCAGAGAGACGCCAAGAGUGUGAACACGUGAGCUCACGCUCGCUGAAGUGUGAACAGGAUCGCAGUCUGAGCAAAACAGCGGAAGGAAGACGCGUCUUAAGCUUUCUUUGAAGCCCUUAUUGGGAAAGCAUCCAGGAGCGCAAGCCGAGCCUAAUUUAUGCUUGCUGCCGAAGGCGGCACUCCUUGAGGAGAACAAGCCCCACCAAACACAAUGGAAGAUUAUACAGAGGAUCGGGUUAUCGUUCUGCUAAACUGGACGGUACUCUCAAACAAGGCUGCGUCGCGCAGAACGAUCCUAAAGGCGACCUUACUUGGAAUUAAGCCCCACUGAGUUCAUUAGGACUCCGGUUCUAUUAGAUAAACUAAGGAGCAACCACAUGGAGAGGCCAGGAGGCCCUUGAGUCCGGCCUGCGCGCAUCUAAGUGAGCGCGAUCCAUGGGUCUCCUUGCAUCAUGCAGGUUCCCUUAGGAACACGAUCUCGCAGUCCUAAUUUGCGGGAAGAGUAUCCACUCCCGCUGCUUCUCCAACCCCCUCUGGUGCUGCGGAUCCAUCUUUAGAAGUCCGACUGGGAUUGGGCUAGUGGGCACAGGAUUGCAGCCACCCAACCCAGGCCUACAGGGGCUAACUCAAAAGGAGUCCGGCUCAGUUCCAUGGCGCCUGGACCGCCUCCCUCCUGUAGAGAGUCUCGCACACAAUUUGGGUCAGCUUGCACCGGAUGCGCUGAAGAACCAGGUCCAAGCCUAGAUUCAUCAACGUUUAGUUCUACAAGAUUUUCACGAUGCUGAGCCCACCUUCCCGGCGCUCUCAGGCUUUAACUUGCUUGCGCAUUGUCUUGUGUUUCGUCUUUGAAAGGUGAGACACACGCCCACAUAUAAGCACGGACCUCCGCCCGCAGCAACCCAGGUUCGGUGCAACUUAAAGAACAGUCGAUCUUCCGCUGAACAGAUCAAGCUGUGCAACCCAGUCGCCCGGGGUGCCACUUCCACCGCUGCCUGAAAAGGAUGAUUGGCACCGAAAGGGGCACCGGCGGAUGUGCCUGCACGCCCGUCCCUCUGCCUAUGAAAAGGCAGCGGACAUUUUUCUCCGCCGCCCCCCCUUUUCCUCAAUAAGACGGGAACCACACCCAAGUGCUUUUGAAGAAAAUAAAGUCAUUUAUUGUCAAAGCA
Molecule: long non-coding RNA, 1538 nt
Filed under: Pogona vitticeps (central bearded dragon)
Lineage: Eukaryota; Metazoa; Chordata; Lepidosauria; Squamata; Agamidae
Description: lncRNA (ENSPVIG00000014785.1)
Source: RNAcentral